This 254-nucleotide ribosomal RNA is filed under the name uncultured bacterium. RNAcentral's name for it is "partial 16S ribosomal RNA". It matches the Rfam family "Bacterial small subunit ribosomal RNA", at positions 524 to 777 of the family's 1533-position model. The record is from RNAcentral.
GACAGAGGGUGCAAACGUUGUUCGGAAUUACUGGGCGUAAAGCGCGUGUAGGCGGCCCUGCAAGUCGGAUGUGAAAUCCCACGGCUCAACCGUGGAAGUGCAUUCGAAACUGCAGGGCUAGAGUCCUGGAGAGGAAGGUGGAAUGCUUGGUGUAGAGGUGAAAUUCGUAGAUAUCAAGCGGAACACCGGUGGCGAAGGCGGCCUUCUGGACAGUGACUGACGCUGAGACGCGAAAGCGUGGGGAGCAAACAGGG